GACGAACGCUGGCGGCGUGCUUAACACAUGCAAGUCGAACGGUAAGGCCCUUCGGGGUACACGAGUGGCGAACGGGUGAGUAACACGUGGGUGAUCUGCCCUUCACUUCGGGAUAAGCCUGGGAAACUGGGUCUAAUACCGGAUAGGACCACUGCCUGCAUGGGCGGUGGUGGAAUGCUUUUGCGGUGUGGGAUGGGCCCGCGGCCUAUCAGCUUGUUGGUGGGGUGAGGGCAUACCAAGGCGACGACGGGUAGGCGGCCUGGGAGGGGGACCGGCCACCCUGGGGCUGAGAUACGGCCCAGACUCCUACGGGAGGCAGCAGCGGGGAAUAUCGCACAAUGGGCGCAAGCCUGAUGCAGCGACGCCGCGUGAGGGAUGACGGCCUUCGGGUUGUAAACCUCUUUCAGCACCGACGAAGCGCAAGUGACGGUAGGUGCAGAAGAAGGACCGGCCAACUACGUGCCAGCAGCCGCCGUAA
RNAcentral lists this ribosomal RNA (478 nucleotides) under uncultured bacterium. RNAcentral describes it as "partial 16S ribosomal RNA". It matches the Rfam family "Bacterial small subunit ribosomal RNA", at positions 28 to 523 of the family's 1533-position model. The record is from RNAcentral.